UAUGGACAUGGUACUGUGGUAUUGCAAUUGACGGUUACAUUUAAUUUAAAUAUAAGUGAAUCGCAACUUUUAAACAUUUUGAAAUCGUAUAAUAAUUAGGACUGUUAUUUCGUAGUUUCAUAUUACCAACCGCAGUUCUUGAACAUCAUUGUCAUGUUACAAUUUCUCUGAAUUGGGUAGUAUAAAACAAAAUCUACUGCCAUUUUGUCCAACUAGAUUGUCUGUAAGGGUUA
This is a non-coding RNA of Cinara cedri, 233 nucleotides long. The record is from the annotation of a GenBank genome assembly. NCBI's taxonomy places the organism in Eukaryota, Metazoa, Arthropoda, Insecta, Hemiptera, Aphididae.